GAUCAAGUGUCUUAAGGGCAAUUGGUGGAUGCCUUGGCAUGCACAGGCGAUGAAGGA
This 57-nucleotide ribosomal RNA is filed under the name Mesorhizobium sp. RNAcentral describes it as "partial 23S ribosomal RNA". Lineage: Bacteria; Pseudomonadati; Pseudomonadota; Alphaproteobacteria; Hyphomicrobiales; Phyllobacteriaceae. The record is from RNAcentral.